Molecule: ribosomal RNA, 66 nt
Filed under: Puccinia hordei
Lineage: Eukaryota; Fungi; Basidiomycota; Pucciniomycetes; Pucciniales; Pucciniaceae
Description: partial 18S small subunit ribosomal RNA
Source: RNAcentral
CCUUGUCAUUAUGAGGAAGUAAAAAGUCGUAACAUUUCUGUAGGUGAACCUGCAGAAGGAUCAUUA